Molecule: unclassified non-coding RNA, 23 nt
Filed under: Mus musculus (house mouse)
Lineage: Eukaryota; Metazoa; Chordata; Mammalia; Rodentia; Muridae
Description: oocyte_clustered_small_RNA10312
Source: RNAcentral
UGAAGUCAUAGCCGUCAGGUCUU